Molecule: transfer RNA, 85 nt
Filed under: Pseudoalteromonas aurantia
Lineage: Bacteria; Pseudomonadati; Pseudomonadota; Gammaproteobacteria; Alteromonadales; Pseudoalteromonadaceae
Also listed under: 5 other names
Description: tRNA-Leu
Rfam family: tRNA
About the family: Transfer RNA (tRNA) molecules are approximately 80 nucleotides in length. Their secondary structure includes four short double-helical elements and three loops (D, anti-codon, and T loops). Further hydrogen bonds mediate the characteristic L-shaped molecular structure. tRNAs have two regions of fundamental functional importance: the anti-codon, which is responsible for specific mRNA codon recognition, and the 3' end, to which the tRNAs corresponding amino acid is attached (by aminoacyl-tRNA synthetases). tRNAs cope with the degeneracy of the genetic code in two manners: having more than one tRNA (with a specific anti-codon) for a particular amino acid; and 'wobble' base-pairing, i.e. permitting non-standard base-pairing at the 3rd anti-codon position.
Source: RNAcentral
GCGGGGGUGGCGGAAUUGGUAGACGCGCUGGAUUUAGGUUCCAGUAUCUUAGGGUGUGAGAGUUCAAGUCUCUCCCUCCGCACCA